AGGAUUCCCCGAGUAGCGGCGAGCGAAACGGGAAGAGCCCAGCGCUGAAUCCUGCCGCCCGGGCGGGCGGCCGGGAAAUGUAGCGUUCGGUGGGAGAGUUAAAUUUUAUACGCGCGGUCAUUAGUCACGGCUGCCAGUCCAAGUUCAUCUUGAACGGGGCCGCUUACCCGCAGAGGGUGCCAGGCCCGUGGUGACGGUAGCCGGCCGCGACGGUCUCCCCACCAAGAGUCGGGUUGCUUGAGAGUGCAGCCCUAAGUGGGUGGUAAACUCCAUCUAAGGCUAAAUACCACCACGAGACCGAUAGCGAACAAGUACCGUGAGGGAAAGUUGAAAAGAACUUUGAAGAGAGAGUUAAAGAGUACGUGAAACCGUUCAGGGGUAAACCUGCGGAACUCGAACGGACGAACGGGGAGAUUCAUCGCUCUUCCGCCGGUGGCCCGCGCGCCGCGCGUGCACCGCCCUCUCGGCGACCGUUCGCGGUCGUCGUCGGGGCGGGCCGCCGGCCGCGCCGUCUGGCCCCCGGAGCGCGUGCACUUCUCCCUUAGUAUGACACCGCGACCCGUCGCGCUGCCGUCGAACGCGCCGUGCGGCAGACCCGUCCCCGCUCCGCGGGGCGGAGCCGCGGCGUUCUUGCGGCGGCAGUCUCGCUUGUUCAGCGACGGUAACGAACGAGGAUCGGGCGCGUCCGGCUCCGGCCGCAGACGUCCGUCGCGCCUCAGCGGCGAACCGUCGCGUCGGCCCCGUCGCCCAGAGCGUCGAGGGAUCGGCGCGCGGGUCGUCCGCGGUUAGAGGCGCGCUCACGGACCGCGCCCGUCCCGGUCAGCGGUGGUUUUGUUUCGGGCACUCGCAGGACCCGUCUUGAAACACGGACCAAGGAGUCUAGCAUGCGCGCGAGUCAUCGGGACAUCCGAAUAAACCCGGGGGCGAAAUGAAAGUGAAAGGCGGCGCCUCGCGCGCCGCCCCGAGGGAAGAUGCGCGGGCGCCCGCAAGGCGCCCCGCCGCAUUCCCGAGGCGUUUCGAGAAAGUCUCCGUGCGAUUAUCGAGACGCACUGAGAGCGCGCACGCUGGGACCCGAAAGAUGGUGAACUAUGCCUGGUCAGGUCGAAGUCAGGGGAAACCCUGAUGGAGGACCGAAGCGAUUCUGACGUGCAAAUCGAUCGUCGGAACUGGGUAUAGGGGCGAAAGACUAAUCGAACUAUCUAAUAGCUGGUUCCAUCCGAAGUUUCCCUCAGGAUAGCUGGCGCUCGGGAAACAUGGGCCGCGACGCUCGCGUCCGGCCCAUUCGUACAGUCUCAUCCGGUAAAGCGAAUGAUUAGAGGCAUUGGGGCCGAAAUGGCCUCAACCUAUUCUCAAACUUUAAAUGGGUGAGAUCUCCGUCUUGCUCGAAGAUGAAGUCGGAGCUCGGAUGGGAGUGCCAAGUGGGCCAAUUUUGGUAAGCAGAACUGGCGCUGUGGGAUGAACCAAACGUCGAGUUAAGGCGCCCAACGGACGCUCAUCGGAGACCAUAAAAGGCGUUGGUCGCUCAGGACAGCAGGACGGUGGCCAUGGAAGUCGGAAUCCGCUAAGGAGUGUGUAACAACUCACCUGCCGAAGCAACCAGCCCUGAAAAUGGAUGGCGCUGUAGCGUCCGGCCUAUACUCGACCGUCGCAGGCAAGUGGGUGGCGCGCGCGCCGUUCGCGGUGCGCGCGCCUCUUGAGGCCGCGACGAGUAGGAUGGUCGCGGCGGUGAGCGCAGAAGGGUCUGGGCGCGAGCCCGCCUGGAGCCUCCGUCGGCGCAGAUCUUGGUGGUAGUAGCAAAUACUCAAGCGAGGUCCUUGAGGGCUG
This 1824-nucleotide ribosomal RNA is filed under the name Lannapsyche chantaramongkolae. Its description in RNAcentral is "partial large subunit ribosomal RNA". It matches the Rfam family "Eukaryotic large subunit ribosomal RNA", at positions 71 to 1493 of the family's 3401-position model. Lineage: Eukaryota; Metazoa; Arthropoda; Insecta; Trichoptera; Odontoceridae. The record is from RNAcentral.